GAUGAACGCUGGCGGCGUGCCUAAUACAUGCAAGUCGAGCGAACGGACGAGAAGCUUGCUUCUCUGAUGUUAGCGGCGGACGGGUGAGUAACACGUGGAUAACCUACCUAUAAGACUGGGAUAACUUCGGGAAACCGGAGCUAAUACCGGAUAAUAUUUUGAACCGCAUGGUUCAAAAGUGAAAGACGGUCUUGCUGUCACUUAUAGAUGGAUCCGCGCUGCAUUAGCUAGUUGGUAAGGUAACGGCUUACCAAGGCAACGAUGCAUAGCCGACCUGAGAGGGUGAUCGGCCACACUGGAACUGAGACACGGUCCAGACUCCUACGGGAGGCAGCAGUAGGGAAUCUUCCGCAAUGGGCGAAAGCCUGACGGAGCAACGCCGCGUGAGUGAUGAAGGUCUUCGGAUCGUAAAACUCUGUUAUUAGGGAAGAACAUAUGUGUAAGUAACUGUGCACAUCUUGACGGUACCUAAUCAGAAAGCCACGGCUAACUACGUGCCAGCAGCCGCGGUAAUACGUAGGUGGCAAGCGUUAUCCGGAAUUAUUGGGCGUAAAGCGCGCGUAGGCGGUUUUUUAAGUCUGAUGUGAAAGCCCACGGCUCAACCGUGGAGGGUCAUUGGAAACUGGAAAACUUGAGUGCAGAAGAGGAAAGUGGAGUUCCAUGUGUAGCGGUGAAAUGCGCAGAGAUAUGGAGGAACACCAGUGGCGAAGGCGACUUUCUGGUCUGUAACUGACGCUGAUGUGCGAAAGCGUGGGGAUCAAACAGGAUUAGAUACCCUGGUAGUCCACGCCGUAAACGAUGAGUGCUAAGUGUUAGGGGGUUUCCGCCCCUUAGUGCUGCAGCUAACGCAUUAAGCACUCCGCCUGGGGAGUACGACCGCAAGGUUGAAACUCAAAGGAAUUGACGGGGACCCGCACAAGCGGUGGAGUAUGUGGUUUAAUUCGAAGCAACGCGAAGAACCUUACCAAAUCUUGACAUCCUUUGACAACUCUAGAGAUAGAGCCUUCCCCUUCGGGGGACAAAGUGACAGGUGGUGCAUGGUUGUCGUCAGCUCGUGUCGUGAGAUGUUGGGUUAAGUCCCGCAACGAGCGCAACCCUUAAGCUUAGUUGCCAUCAUUAAGUUGGGCACUCUAAGUUGACUGCCGGUGACAAACCGGAGGAAGGUGGGGAUGACGUCAAAUCAUCAUGCCCCUUAUGAUUUGGGCUACACACGUGCUACAAUGGACAAUACAAAGGGCAGCGAAACCGCGAGGUCAAGCAAAUCCCAUAAAGUUGUUCUCAGUUCGGAUUGUAGUCUGCAACUCGACUACAUGAAGCUGGAAUCGCUAGUAAUCGUAGAUCAGCAUGCUACGGUGAAUACGUUCCCGGGUCU
RNAcentral lists this ribosomal RNA (1372 nucleotides) under uncultured bacterium. Its description in RNAcentral is "bacterial SSU rRNA". It matches the Rfam family "Bacterial small subunit ribosomal RNA", at positions 28 to 1381 of the family's 1533-position model. The record is from RNAcentral.